UACGUAGGUGACAAGCGUUGUCCGGAUUUACUGGGCGUAAAGAGCGCGCAGGCGGUCGAUCAAGUCGAGUGUGAAAGCCCCCGGCUCAACUGGGGAGGGUCAUUCGAUACUGAUCGACUCGAAGGCAGGAGAGGGUAGUGGAAUUCCUGGUGUAGCGGUGAAAUGCGCAGAUAUCAGGAGGAACACCGGUGGCGAAGGCGGCUAUCUGGACAGAGUCUGACGCUGAGGCGCGAAAGCUAGGGGAGCAAACAGG
This 253-nucleotide ribosomal RNA is filed under the name uncultured bacterium. RNAcentral's name for it is "partial 16S ribosomal RNA". It matches the Rfam family "Bacterial small subunit ribosomal RNA", at positions 524 to 776 of the family's 1533-position model. The record is from RNAcentral.